This 449-nucleotide ribosomal RNA is filed under the name uncultured bacterium. Its description in RNAcentral is "partial 16S ribosomal RNA". It matches the Rfam family "Bacterial small subunit ribosomal RNA", at positions 29 to 523 of the family's 1533-position model. The record is from RNAcentral.
AGUGAACGCUGGCGGCAGGCUUAACACAUGCAAGUCGAACGCCCGGGCAACCGGGAGUGGCAGACGGGUGAGUAACACGUGGGAACGUACCCUUUGGUUCGGAAUAACUCAGGGAAACUUGAGCUAAUACCGGAUAAGCCCUUUUGGGGAAAGAUUUAUCGCCGAAGGAUCGGCCCGCGUCCGAUUAGCUAGUUGGUGAGGUAACGGCUCACCAAGGCGACGAUCGGUAGCUGGUCUGAGAGGAUGACCAGCCACACUGGGACUGAGACACGGCCCAGACUCCUACGGGAGGCAGCAGUGGGGAAUAUUGGACAAUGUGGGCAACCCUGAUCCAGCCAUGCCGCGUGAGUGAUGAAGGCCCUAGGGUUGUAAAGCUCUUUCGGCGGGGACGAUAAUGACGGUACCCGCAGAAGAAGCCCCGGCUAACUUCGUGCCAGCCGCCGCGGUAA